AUAGUGAGAGAAAAACUACAGCGUCCAUGGUCACACCACGGUUGGGAGAAGGAUUGGAGAUGGUCUUCAACGUCAAUUAAAUACAUAUCGAUAUUUUGUUUUCAACAAAUUUCAAACAAAUUUUUUUUAGUACAAGUAUGUAGGUACCAAGACACGUAGCGUAUAAUGUGGUGACAUGAGCAAAGAGAGACGAGUGGACAACAACUGGACAACAUUCGGUUCCUAUAUCCUGCGACCUGCAGUUCAGGUUUUUUGUUUCUGUUAUUGUGAACAAUUUUUUAUACAGUACCUACAUUGACCAAAGAUUUGGGGACGGAGUGGCCGAGCGGACUAAAGCGUCGGUUGCGACGCGCACCUACGUCGGUUCAAAACCUCGGCUGUGGGCGGCAAGUCACGGUGUCACCCGAGCAUGAUUAUAAAAAUAUACAUCUUUGAUUUAUACGUAAGAUACCUUCUCAAGUGGAAAAGCUAAAAGUCGCUCUUUCGACGAACAACUAUUCAACCACAAAUUGCAGGAAUUCAACGAGGAAAAAUCCCGGAAUAAAAGCGAUGCAAAAUUGCGAUUAUUAAUUAGGUCUCACUAAAUAAUAACUAUUUAUUUAACUGAGUAAAACAAUGUACUAUUAAGGUCUAGGUUCCUAAUUGUAAUAUAUUAUAAUAUAAUAGUGCUGUUUGGAGGAAAUGUUUAACGUUCUCUGUAUUUAUCUAAAAAUGUCGUCAUGUAUACAUUAAUGUGUCACAUGUGUACAUUAAAUAACUUCAUACUUUACCAACAA
Molecule: long non-coding RNA, 776 nt
Organism: Metopolophium dirhodum (rose-grain aphid)
Lineage: Eukaryota; Metazoa; Arthropoda; Insecta; Hemiptera; Aphididae
Exons: 4
Source: RefSeq, a predicted model, not a curated record